GAGUGUUGAGGGGAGCGGACCCUAGUACGAGAGGACCGGGUCGGACAAUCCGCUCGUGUCCCGGCUGUCCUGCCAAGGGCACCGCCGGGUAGCGAUGAUUGGCUGUGAUAACCGCUGAAUGCAUCUAAGUGGGAAGCACGCCCCAAGAUGAACACUCACAGGGCUUCGCGCCCUCUGAAGGGCCGGGGGAGACCACCCCGUCAAUAGGCCGCCCGUGGACGUGCCGCAAGGCACUCCGAGCGCAGCGGUCCUAAUCGCCCGUGCGGCUUGACUAC
Molecule: ribosomal RNA, 275 nt
Filed under: Gemmatimonadota bacterium
Lineage: Bacteria; Pseudomonadati; Gemmatimonadota
Description: partial 23S ribosomal RNA
Rfam family: Bacterial large subunit ribosomal RNA
Source: RNAcentral